This 407-nucleotide ribosomal RNA is filed under the name uncultured bacterium. Its description in RNAcentral is "bacterial SSU rRNA". It matches the Rfam family "Bacterial small subunit ribosomal RNA", at positions 355 to 774 of the family's 1533-position model. The record is from RNAcentral.
UAGGGAAUAUUGGACAAUGGGGGCAACCCUGAUCCAGCCAUGCCGCGUGAGUGAAGAAGGCCCUCGGGUUGUAAACCUCUUUCAAUAGGGACGAAGCGCAAGUGACGGUACCUAUAGAAGAAGGACCGGCCAACUACGUGCCAGCAGCCGCGGUAAUACGUAGGGUCCGAGCGUUGUCCGGAAUUACUGGGCGUAAAGAGCUCGUAGGUGGUUUGUCGCGUUGUUCGUGAAAACUCACAGCUUAACUGUGGGCGUGCGGGCGAUACGGGCAGACUAGAGUACUGCAGGGGAUACUGGAAUUCCUGGUGUAGCGGUGGAAUGCGCAGAUAUCAGGAGGAACACCGGUGGCGAAGGCGGGUCUCUGGGCAGUAACUGACGCUGAGGAGCGAAAGCGUGGGGAGCGAACA